This 493-nucleotide long non-coding RNA is filed under the name Brassica napus (rape). Its description in RNAcentral is "long non-coding RNA (BNAP_LNC023321)". Lineage: Eukaryota; Viridiplantae; Streptophyta; Magnoliopsida; Brassicales; Brassicaceae. The record is from RNAcentral.
GAGAGGGGUUUGUGUAUUCUAAAUGUUAAUACUUUGGGUUUGGGGAGUGAGAAAGAUGAGAAAGAUGAACAAAAGAGUGUCAUUAGAAAAGAAAACUUUAGGGACAAAAGGAAAGUAUGAAGCUCAAAAAAAGAGAGAAAAGAAUCAAAGAGAAGGUGGAGAGGGAAAUGAGAAAGAGUUAGAGCUAAGUGUUGUAAAAAGUGAAUUAAAGUCCCUAGUUGGUUGAGUCAAAAGAAAAAGAGAGUUGUUCAUUGGGUGAGUGAUGUGAGUGGGUGUUAUUUUGGUUUUGAGAUGAUGAUAAAAGGGUAAAACUUGUAAUCACUUAUAAAAAGGGGUAGAAUGAUGAGAAUGAAUCUAUGUAUGCAUGAGUUGCUUCUAGUCUUAGAUAAAUUUUGCAUAAUGAUCAAGCUUUUUGUUCUUGAGUGAUAACCACCUUGAAAUGACAACAUUUGAAUCCUUCUUUUCAUUCAUAUUAGACCAUUGCUUACCUAGC